Long non-coding RNA from Camelus dromedarius (Arabian camel), 425 nucleotides. RefSeq lists it as uncharacterized. The transcript has 3 exons. Lineage: Eukaryota; Metazoa; Chordata; Mammalia; Artiodactyla; Camelidae. The record is from RefSeq and is a predicted model, not a curated record.
CGUUGGUGCUUUCGGCCUCGGGAACAGGUUCCAGACCGAGGCGGGAUUAGGCGGGACCCCCUGCACCCUCUCUCCACCCCGGCUGAAUUGAUCGGGGCCGUGUCCUUGGUCAGCUAACCCGCCCCCGACCACCGAGAACAUGGCAGGAUAGAUUCCCCUUGGAUGUUGCUCAUUUGGAUUUUGGAGUUUGCCCUGACUUUGUCAAUCCUCAGGCCAGAUCCAGGUAGCAGUACUCUUGGAAAUCUCCACAAGCGGAUUCAAGAGUCAACCAAACCAGGAGUGCCUACAGCUUGAAAAUUUAUGCCAGUGGAGGAAUUUGUAGCAUCUCACGAACUCUCUUUCUAUUGAAAGGAUGCAGAAAUGCAGCACUAUUUAAAAAGAAAAAGUUUCUGAGAGAAAGAAACUUUCAUCAUAGCAGGGUGAUG